RNAcentral lists this ribosomal RNA (450 nucleotides) under uncultured bacterium. Its description in RNAcentral is "partial 16S ribosomal RNA". It matches the Rfam family "Bacterial small subunit ribosomal RNA", at positions 354 to 796 of the family's 1533-position model. The record is from RNAcentral.
GUGGGGAAUAUUGGACAAUGGGCGAAAGCCUGAUCCAGCCAUGCCGCGUGUGUGAAGAAGGUCUUCGGAUUGUAAAGCACUUUAAGUUGGGAGGAAGGGCAGUAAGUUAAUACCUUGCUGUUUUGACGUUACCGACAGAAUAAGCACCGGCUAACUUCGUGCCAGCAGCCGCGGUAAUACGAAGGGUGCAAGCGUUAAUCGGAAUUACUGGGCGGAAAGCGCGCGUAGGUGGUUUUGUAAGUUGGAGGUGAAAUCCCCGGGCUCAACCUGGGAACUGCCUACAAAACUGCAUGACUAGAGUACGGUAGAGGGUAGUGGAAUUUCCUGUGUAGCGGUGAAAUGCGUAGAUAUAGGAAGGAACACCAGUGGCGAAGGCGACUACCUGGACUGAUACUGACACUGAGGUGCGAAAGCGUGGGGAGCAAACAGGAUUAGAAACCCUAGUAGUCC